UUUUUUUUUUUUUUUUUCCCACUGUACAGCAAGGGAAAUAUUUUUUUAAAGCUAGCCAUCAGUGGGUUCAAUGAACUUUGAUGGUUGAGAACUAUUGUUCCAAGUAGAAUGUUUGUCCUAUUAUGUAACUGACGUAGUUGAGAACCUGAGGGAAUGAGGCAUAUGGACAACAGGCCAGUGGGGUCAAGUCUAAGAAGAACCCAGGGAAGCUGGGAGAUGGGGUGAAGGAAGCAAGAAACUGGAGACAGGUUGGAGGGAUGGGGGAGGAUUAUGGGGUUUUUAGGCAGGAUUCCUUAGGGUCUUGGACCGACUUUCAAUCUGGCUAGGCAUUCAAGGUAGGGAUUGGUAUAACUGCGUAUUAUUUAUGUGAAACCGAGCAGGGCCCUGUGGGGCUCCUGGGCACAAGCCUUUCCGUGUUCCCCAUUUCUUAUUUGUAGGGAAUAAGCUUCAGCCUCCAUGACCUUCCCUGAGUUCUGAAGGGCAGGUUCAAACAGUUGCUAAUCAGGGAAUGGAGGGCAUGCAGAGACCAGAGAGGAGCCCUCCAGAGACAAUAGUGCAGCCCCUGGGGCAGGGUCCCAGAUCCUCUUCAAGGAAUAUACAUAACAAUAUCUUUGAGUUCUUCUGCAGAACUAAAGCCCCAACAAAUGAAAACCAGAGAGGAGGACCACCAGAACCAGACCUGGGGCCCCUAAACAUCAACUUGGGAGAAGAAUGAACGCUCACAUCUACCCCAAUCUUCAUCUGUGGUCCUAUUUUCUACUCCCAAAUUAUAAAGCCCCUUCUUAUUCUCUCCCAAGGGAGGGCACAGUCUUUAAGGCAUUAGCUUCCUGUGGCCUCCUUUGUCUGGCAAAGCAAUAAAGGUAUCUUUUUCUCUUUCACUCCAAAUUCUGUCUCGGUGUUUCUUUUCAACUCUGGUGAACAGGGGCUGAGUUUCGGCAACUCUUGUAUUAGUCAGGGUUCUCCAGAGUAAUGAAACCUAUAGGAUACAGAGAGAUCUAUAAGUGAGGAGACUUAGAGAAAUUGGCUCACAGGGUCGUGGAGGCCACAACAUCCUAUGCUCUGCAAGUUGGACCCAGGAAGGCUGAGGAGUGAGUAAUUCAGUUAGAGUUUGAAGGGCAGGGAAUAAGGGGAUUGAGGGCAUAAACCCCAAUCUGAGUCUGCAAGCUUGAGAACCUAAGCAGGAAGAGAGCAAAUGCACCCUUCUUCUGCUUUUUUUGUUCUUCUGGGCCCCUGAAGGGAUAGAAAGACACUCACCACCCACUGAGAGAGAGAGCCAUCUGCUUUACUUAGUUCACCCAUUCAAAUGCUAAUCUCUUCCUGAAACACCCUCACAGACACACCCAGGAAGAUUUUCGCAGCUAUCUUGGCUUCCCUUAGCCCAGUCAAAUCAACACAUAAAGCUAACCAUCAUAGAGCUUUAUCGCUGAUCAAAAUUUUUAAAUAGUUUUCUCUCUCUGCUUACCUCACUUAUGCUCCGUGUCAGGUGCUAAAACACUUCAGUAUCCAGAAGCAACCAAUUACCAGUAAUGAGUCUAGAUUUUUCUUUGUGUUCUGAGUCUCCAUUUGUUUGUUUGUUUGUUUUCUUUGAAUGUUUGGUUAGAAUUCAUCUAAGGCGUCUAUGCCAACUGGUACUCAGUGAAAACAUACACCAUUGAAGUCGAUUAGAAGAAAUAUUUCAGCACACCUUCUUAAACAGUUUAAGGUCAAUGGCACAUAUAUAGAUCCAAUUGGCGCUAUCUUCUAUAAUCUUAAACAUAUUUCAAUAAAAAAGUUGAUUUGUAGAGAGAAGCUUUAGAGAUGGAUGAAAAGAUUAUAAAGCAAUAAAGUUGUAAUAAACAGAAGUUUUCUAUAAAUGAGAACAUUAUCCUCAAAACAAUCACCUUUAGGGAUUAAUUACAUAAAAGUUCCAGUGUUUAACAAAUUCCUGAGGCUCCUUUCUAGGAACUAGCUCCAUCCAGAGCCAUUUGUAAAAUCACAAGUUGUGAUCAGUAGGCAUAUGGGACCCGAUCGGUGCGUUUUCUUGGAUUAUCAUGGCCACACCUGCCUAUCAGGCUCUAUGCCACUUGCUGGAUGAGAAGCUCCAGUUGUCACUAGCAUUCCUGGCACUGUCAUUAGCCUUGGCCUCCCUGAAGUUGAGAGCUUGGUUUUGACAUGGCUUCCACUUGAGCCUUCUGCCGUGUGACCUUAUGAAACCAAGCAGGACCCUGUGGGGCUCCUGGGUACAAAAGCCUUUCUGUGUCCCCCAUUUCUUGUUUGUAGUAAAUAGGUUUUGUUCAGCCUCUUUGACCUUCCCUAAGUUCUGAAGGGUAUGUUCAAACAGUUACUAAUCAGGGAAGGGAGGAGCUGCAGAGACAAGGAGGGAACAGUCAAGAAACCAUAGCGCAGGAAGUUCCCUUGUGGUGCAGUAGAUAAAGGAUUCCACAUUGUCGAAGAUUUUGUGCAGGCUGCAACUGCAGUGUGGUUUUGAUCCCUGGCCUGGGAACUUUUCUGUGCCAUGGGCGCAGCCAAAAAAGAAAAAAAGAAAGAAAAAGAAAAAAGAAACAAUAGUGCAGCUAGUGCAGGCUUGGGACAGGAUCCAGGUUCCCCUUCAAGGAAUACGCAGUAUAAUAUAAUAUCUUGGACCUCUUCUGCAGAGCUAAAACCCCCAACAAAUGGAAGAUGUUAACUACUUGAUGAAGCAUCCUUUUUUUCUUCUUCUUUUUCUUCUUAGGGCUGCACCCGCAGCAUAUGGAAAUUCCCAGGCUAGAGGUUGAAUCAGAGCUACAGCUGCCGGCCUAUGACAGCCACAGCAACGCCAGAUCUGAGCAUAGGAAGUCGUUUCCUCCAUCCAGUGGGCCUGGGUCACACAGAUCUGAAGUGUGGAGUUGUUAGGGCCCCAUGGGGAAAACUUGCCUAACACUCAAUGAUAAAAAACUGUUCCUGGGCUUGGAGGUAGAGAAUGGAGCUGUAGCCUUUAUGGUGCUGGCUUUCUUGGUCCUAGGUGUUACCGAAAUUCAGCCUCUGUCCCCCAGUCCUGAACAGAAAUGCAGAGACAGAGUUUUGGGCAAAGUAGAAAGGAGUAGCUUUUAUUGUUUGUCUGGCAAAGAAGGCCGCAGCAGGCUAACGCCCUAAAGAAUGUGGCCUCCCUUGAGAGAGAAUAGGAAGGGGUCUUACAGUUUAGGACUGGAAAACAAGGCCGAGGAUAAGGGUCUGAGCAGAUGCAGGCAUGCAUUCUUCUUCAAAGGUGAUGUCGGUGGCCUAGGUGGUCUGGGAUGGGUUGUUGGGUUGUGGGGGCUCUUGAGAUUACGGUUUUGUGACCUUCUUUCUGAAAUAAAGAAUGUUUCAUUAAAAAAAAAAAAGAUCUAUGAGGAUGAGGGUUCAAUCCCUGGACUCAGUGAGCUAUAAGGAUCUGGCAUUGCCAUGAGCUGUGGUAUAGGUCACAGACAGCAGCUCAGGUCUGGCAUUGCUGUGGCGUAGGCCGGCAUCUGUAGCCCGAUUAGACCCCUACCCAGGGAAUCUCUAUAAGCUUCUGGGUGCAGCCCUAAGAAGCAAAAAAUAAAAUAGUCUUCCAUUCUCGUAUUCUGUUCUAUUUUCCUUCAUUGCUUUUAUGAGUAUCUGAAAUCCUAUUACGCUCUUUCCCUCUCUUGUUGGCUUACUAAAAUAAAAACUCCACAUAGAUAAAGAGUUUUACAUGUCAUAUUGUAGCUAAAUACCAAGGAUUUCAAAUAGAGGAGUUAGACUCUUUGUAUCAUGUGGUCAGAAGAAAUUUAAGGUAUUGAUCUUAAGCAUUUAUUUAUUAAUUGAUUUAUUGAUUCAUAGAUUUAACAGAUUUUAAAUUCACUUUUUUUUUUCAAAAUUCUGUUUUCUCAAAUUCUCUCUAUAGGAAGACUUUAAAAAUGUCUAUAUAUCUUCUUCACGAACAUUUCUUGUGACUGAAAGCCCACUAGUCCUAGAAGAACCAUGUUUUGGAUUCAAUCAGGGCUUAUAUUCAGCUGAUAGGUCCUUACAUAAAUGAAUCAGUUGGCAAAAUAUGAAAUGCUUCCAUUUCAGUUAAUAAGUAGUAUAAUAGUAACUGUGAGAGACCAUAUGAUUCAUUUAUAAUAUUAUUUCUAAUGUACAUUAAUUAGUUCAAGAUAAUUAUCUUAGAGUGUUCCAAUGACCAUAGUUAAGCUGGUUUUCUGACACAGAAUGACUUAAUUGAUUAUAAAGAUAUUGGAUAAUGGAAUAUCUCCAGACAAUAUUAUAAAGAUUAGAAAACUUUAAAUGUAAUUAUUAUUUCAGCAAAACCUAGAAAGCCUUCUAUACUAUAAAUAAUAUCAUUUUGGUAAAGAGAAAUUUUCUUUUUAAUGAUUCUAAAAGUAUCUAAUGAGGCCAUGAUAAUGGUGACCAAGAAAUCAAGAUAUGAAAAAAUUAAUAAAGAGAAACCUCAAUUAAAUGAAGCCUGGGGACCAGAAGGGGGCGCUCUCAUGCCCUCAAGGAUCACUGAGCCCAGCGGGAAGAAGUCCUUCCCUGGCAAGGACGCAGCCAAUGAAAAGCCAUGGACUCUUCCUUUAUUAAAGCCCUCCCCAACUUCCUUUUUCAUAAAAAGAUUCUCCUUCCCUUACUGUUUAUGGAUUUAUACGUGGCCUGCCAUGGUUGCAGAUCUCAAAUUGCAAUUUUCCACUGAUCCAGAAUAAACCCAUCUUUGCUGGAGAAAUAAUGGGAGGGAGGGUUUUGUUUUCUGUUGUUGCUGUUGUUAGGUCAAGAGUAUCUUGAGAGCAGUGUGGACGUGGAUUCUGGCAACUCCGUUCAGCUGCUUAGUGGACCAAGGUGACAGUAGCAGAGAGUGUGGGAUCCCCAUCCUUUGUUCCAGCUUGACCCAGAUUGGCAGUGACAUUGCAAGAUGGGUCAAAGGGCAGACACUCUGGGACCGGAUCAUGAGGAAAGCACUGAUCUCCAGGGGUGGGCCUCGGUAUGCCUUGAGGUCACCACUCAGCUGCCUUCUGGAUGCAGUGAACUGAGCAUCAAUAAUUGAAUGACUCCUAACUACAUGGAAGCAUCAGUGGACCUGUUUCAUGUAAUUUCUUACAUCAAACCCUGGCUCAGACAGGAACAUCAUUAGCAAGAGACACAUGUUCAACAAAAGAUGAACACCAGCAAUUCCUCAAGAUCAAUGUAUGAUAUGGAAAUUAUUGGGAUAUCUGAAUCAAUGUUUUACACCAUAUAUUGCAUAUAACCAUAGCACAGUGUCCAUAUCAGGAAAUUAACAUGCUUUACAACUAUUAACUUGAGUUGAAAACUUAUUCCGAUUACACCAGGCUUUAAAUGCAUUCUUGUGUGUGUGUUUUGGGGGAGUUACCUUUAUUUUCAGGGACCUAUUUUCCUUAGCAUCUUGGUGCUAAGGCUGCAGAGCUUCAGCUGCUGCUAGGCAGAGAUAGAUCUACACAUGAGUGAACCCCCGCGUACUCAUAUUCCUUUCACUUCUGUAGAUUCAUGCCACAUGGGGAAGUAGAUCAUGUUUAUUAAUCACUCCAGAAAGUAUGUAAUUUCAUUAGAUCGAGCUCUGUCUCUGGGCAUUGAGUCAUCAGAGGGAACGGCUCCCCAGUGACCCAGAGCUCCUAGGACACGCUCUGUGGAGACCGCACUUU
RNAcentral lists this long non-coding RNA (5606 nucleotides) under Sus scrofa (pig). Its description in RNAcentral is "lncRNA (ENSSSCG00030012374.1)". The record is from RNAcentral. Lineage: Eukaryota; Metazoa; Chordata; Mammalia; Artiodactyla; Suidae.